RNAcentral lists this ribosomal RNA (301 nucleotides) under uncultured bacterium. RNAcentral's name for it is "partial 16S ribosomal RNA". It matches the Rfam family "Bacterial small subunit ribosomal RNA", at positions 509 to 807 of the family's 1533-position model. The record is from RNAcentral.
CAGCCGCCGCGGGAACACGAAGGGUGCAAGCGUUAAUCGGAAUUACUGGGCGUAAAGCGUGCGUAGGCGGUUUGUUAAGUCUGCUGUGAAAUCCCCGGGCUCAACCUGGGAAUGGCAGUGGAUACUGGCAAGCUAGAGUGUGUCAGAGGAUGGUGGAAUUCCCGGUGUAGCGGUGAAAUGCGUAGAGAUCGGGAGGAACAUCAGUGGCGAAGGCGGCCAUCUGGGACAACACUGACGCUGAGGCACGAAAGCGUGGGGAGCAAACAGGAUUAGAUACCCCUGUAGUCCCUGUCUCUUAUAC